Molecule: long non-coding RNA, 304 nt
Organism: Herpailurus yagouaroundi (jaguarundi)
Lineage: Eukaryota; Metazoa; Chordata; Mammalia; Carnivora; Felidae
Exons: 2
Source: RefSeq, a predicted model, not a curated record
AGGAAGCCACUUUAAUUUUCUUGCAGAUGGCAGUGGAGCUACAAAAGAAGAAACGCCAGCGUUCACGGUCCACGUCUUGACCUCUGAAGACUUUGCUGGCAGCUGACCUCACAGAGCCCAGGACGGAACUUGUUCAAAGAAACUCUCUGCCCGUUUAAUCAACUCCUCUGCUGCCCUCCCAGGGCCCUGAUGCUACUACUACAAGAACUUAUUUGUUCAAAUGAAUAUUAACAUUGUAAUUUAGUACCUAAUUACGCUUCUCUAGCCGUAACUGGAAAUGUGGUAUUAAAAUCCUUACAUGCUC